Molecule: ribosomal RNA, 400 nt
Filed under: uncultured eukaryote
Lineage: Eukaryota
Description: SSU rRNA
Rfam family: Eukaryotic small subunit ribosomal RNA
Source: RNAcentral
AGCUCCAAUAGCGUAUAUUAAAGUUGUUGCGGUUAAAAAGCUCGUAGUUGGAUUUCUGUCGAAGACGGUCGGUCCGCUCUAUGAGCGUGCAUCUGAUUCGGCUUUGGCAUCCUCGUGGGGAACGUAACUGUGCUUGAUUGCAUGGUGCGGAAUUCACGACUUUUACUUUGAGGAAAUUAGAGUGUUCACGGCAGGCAAUCGCCUUGAAUACAUUAGCAUGGAAUAAUAAGAUAGGACCUGAGUUCUAUUUUGUCGGUUUCUAGAGCUUAGGUAAUGAUUAACAGGGAUAGUUGGGGGCAUUCGUAUUUAACUGUCAGAGGUGAAAUUCUUGGAUUUGUUAAAGACGAACUACUGCGAAAGCAUUUGCCAAGGAUGUUUUUCAUUGAUCAAGAACGAAAGU